RNAcentral lists this ribosomal RNA (696 nucleotides) under uncultured bacterium. RNAcentral describes it as "bacterial SSU rRNA". It matches the Rfam family "Bacterial small subunit ribosomal RNA", at positions 32 to 715 of the family's 1533-position model. The record is from RNAcentral.
AACGCUAGCUACAGGCUUAACACAUGCAAGUCGAGGGGAAACGAUAGAGAAAGCUUGCUUUUUCUAGGCGUCGACCGGCGCACGGGUGAGUAACGCGUAUCCAACCUGCCCAUCACUUGGGGAUAACCUUGCGAAAGUAAGACUAAUACCCAAUGACGUCCAUAGAAGACAUCUGAAAGAGAUUAAAGAUUUAUCGGUGAUGGAUGGGGAUGCGUCUGAUUAGCUUGUUGGCGGGGUAACGGCCCACCAAGGCAACGAUCAGUAGGGGUUCUGAGAGGAAGGUCCCCCACAUUGGAACUGAGACACGGUCCAAACUCCUACGGGAGGCAGCAGUGAGGAAUAUUGGUCAAUGGACGAGAGUCUGAACCAGCCAAGUAGCGUGCAGGAAGACGGCCCUAUGGGUUGUAAACUGCUUUUAUAAGGGAAUAAAGUGAGUCUCGUGAGACUUUUUGCAUGUACCUUAUGAAUAAGGACCGGCUAAUUCCGUGCCAGCAGCCGCGGUAAUACGGAAGGUCCGGGCGUUAUCCGGAUUUAUUGGGUUUAAAGGGAGCGUAGGCCGGAGAUUAAGCGUGUUGUGAAAUGUAGACGCUCAACGUCUGCACUGCAGCGCGAACUGGUUUCCUUGAGUACGCACAAAGUGGGCGGAAUUCGUGGUGUAGCGGUGAAAUGCUUAGAUAUCACGAAGAACUCCGAUUG